AGAAGAAGAAAUGGGUGGAAAUGGGCAUGGACAGGUGAUGAAGUCUAAGGUUGUGAAAAUAGAGUCAGAGGAAUCGUGGGAUUUCUUCAUCGCUCAAGCUACCAAUAAAGGUUGCACUAUUGUGGUUCAGUUUACAGCUUGUUGGUGCAUGGCUUCUGUAGCCAUGAAUUCUUUCUCUGAGGAGCUAGCCUUGGCCUAUCAAGAUAUUCUGUUUCUCACAGUGGAUUUAGAUGAGAUUAAGAUAUAUAUUUUUGUUGCAUAUUACCAUUAGAAUGACUAAUUAAUUAAGGUAUACUUCAAUUAUUGUUCUGUCGCAAGAAUAUGGGGAUUGUUUUAUAAGUACUCCCUUGAUGGUAUGAAAAAGUCUUACAU
This 372-nucleotide unclassified non-coding RNA is filed under the name Hevea brasiliensis (rubber tree). The record is from RNAcentral. Lineage: Eukaryota; Viridiplantae; Streptophyta; Magnoliopsida; Malpighiales; Euphorbiaceae.